UCAAGUGAAUAAGGGCAUACGGCGGAUGCCUAGGCGUUUCGAAACGAAGAAGGACGCGAUAAGCUGCGAUAAGCCAUGACGAGCUGCAAGUAAGCAUUGACUCAUGGAUUUCCGAAUGGGGCAACCCGGCAAGAGUAACGUCUUGUCACCUUAUCUUCGAGAUAAGGAGAAAACACCCGAUGAACUGAAACAUCUAAGUAGUCGGAGGAAAAGAAAUCAAAGAGAUUCCCUGAGUAGCGGCGAGCGAAACGGGAAGAGCCCAAACCAAGAGACUUCGGUUUCUUGGGGUUGCGGACCUGCAACAAACUGGACAUUCUAGUGGAAGCAUCUGGGAAGGUGCGGCAAAGAGAGUGAGACCCUCGUACACGAAAGAGUGAAAAGCGGGCAGGAAUCCAGAGUACCACAGGGCACGAGGAACCCGGUGGGAAGCAGGGUGGACCACCAUCCAAGGCUAAACAUGACGAAACGACCGAUAGCGGAAAGUACCGUGAGGGAAAGGUGAAAAGAACCCCGGGAGGGGAGUGCAAAAGAACCUGAAACCGUAUGUCUACAAACAGUCGAAGCACUAUAGAUGUGCGACGGCGUGCCUAUUGAAGAAUGAACCGGCGAGUUGAUUUAUACUGCGAGGUUAAGCGGGAGACGCGGAGCCGAAGCGAAAGCGAGUCUUAAGAGGGCGGAAGUAGUAUGGAUCAGACCCGAAACCACAGUGAUCUAUGCAUGUCCAGGUUGAAGCUCAGGUAAAAAUGAGUGGAGGACCGAACCGGUGAGUGUUGAAAAACUUUCGGAUGAGGUGUGCAUAGGGGUGAAAUGCCAAUCGAACGUGGAGAUAGCUGGUUCUCCCCGAAAUAGCUUUAGGGCUAGCCUUAAGCGAAUAACCAUAAAGACGGUAGAGCACUGAUCGGGCAAGGGGGCGUAAAGCCUACCGACCCCAGUCAAACUACGAAUGGCUCAUAUGGGCAGCCUGGGAGUCAGAAUGCGAGUGAUAAGACCCGUAUUCAAGAGGGAAACAGCCCAGACCGCCGGCUAAGGUCCCAAAUGCUGUGCUAAGUGGAGAAGGAUGUAGGACUUCGAAAACAACCAGGAUGUUGGCUCAGAAGCAGCCACCAUUUAAAGAGUGCGUAAUAGCUCACUGGUCGAGAGUCCCUGCGCCGAAAAUAUCCGGGGCUAAAGCACAGAACCGAAGCCGCGGCAGCGCACUACGUGCGCUGGGUAGGGGAGCGUUCUUAUCUGGACGAAGGUAGACCGGAAGGACUGCUGGACGGAUAAGAAGUGAGAAUGCCGGUAUGAGUAGCGAAACGACAGGUGAGAAUCCUGUCCACCGAAAGCCUAAGGUAUCCCGGGCAACGCUCGUCGUCCCGGGGUUAGUCGGGACCUAAGCCGAGGCGAAAAGCAUAGGCGAUGGACAACUGGCGAAAAUUCCAGUACCGGGCGUCUUCGUUUGAGGAUGGAGUGACGCAGGAAGGAAGCUGAGCGCGCGACUGGAUGAGCGCGUCGAAGGCGGUAGGCUCGUACGGAGGCAAAUCCCCGUACUAUAAGGCCGAGAACCGAUAGAUAGGAGAGACUACGGUCAAUCUGAAUUCAGCCGCACUACACUGCCAAGAAAAGCUUCUAACGAGAACUGAUCCGCCCGUACCAAAACCGACACAGGUAGGCGGGGAGAGAAUCCUAAGGUGCGCGGGAAAACCCUCGUUAAGGAACUCGGCAAAAUGCAUCCGUAACUUCGGGAAAAGGAUGGCCGCUGAUGGUGAAGACAUUUACUGUUGGAGCUGUUGGCGGCGGCAGAAAAGAGGCCCAAGCGACUGUUUACCACAAACACAGGUGCCUGCGAAAGCGCAAGCUGAAGUAUAGGUGCUGACGCCUGCCCGGUGCAGGAAGGUUAAGGAGAGUUGUUAUCCCUAGAGGAGAAGCAGCGAACUGAAGCCCCUGUAAACGGCGGCCGUAACUAUAACGGUCCUAAGGUAGCGAAAUUCCUUGUCGGGU
This 1980-nucleotide ribosomal RNA is filed under the name human oral metagenome. Its description in RNAcentral is "bacterial LSU rRNA". It matches the Rfam family "Bacterial large subunit ribosomal RNA", at positions 3 to 1977 of the family's 2925-position model. The record is from RNAcentral.